UGGUUGUUGGUUAAAAAAAAGCACAAGUGAGAUCAUUUUCUCUCAUUUCCCAUUUGAAGGACGACACAGUAGAAGGCAAAAGAUGUGUGGCGUAGAUGAAAAUGCAACUUCCUGUUAAGAAAGGGCCUUAACGCAAAGCUGAAGAGGAGAGUGUCUCUGACACUGCUCUGCUGUCUCUAGACCCCUAAAAACAGCUUAAGGAUUUUUUUUGAAGGUGAAAACUCUCCGGCAACUGAACCGACCGAUUAGACGCACGAGAACACGACAUAUGGUGUCUUAGAAACGGCUUUUGAACUCUUGGAUAUGGCGAGAUUUUUUACGCUAGGACCCUUGGUUUUGGUCCUAUGCUUGGUCUUAUACCCCCCAAACUCACAGACUGAAGGAGACAACAAACCAAAGACAGAUGUCAGUGCUGACCAAUCAAAGAACGCCACACCUCCCACUGCUCACAUCCCUACAUUACCUACCACUAAAGACCCCUCAAACUCACAGACUGAAGGAGACAACAAACCAAAGACAGACCCCUCAAACUCACAGACUGAAGGAGACAACAAACCAAAGACAGGUGUCAGUGCUGACCAAUCAAAGAACGCCACACCUCCCACUGCUCACAUCCCUACAUUACCUACCACUAAAGGUAACCACGACAACACGCAUCACCACAGCACACACACACUCCAGCAUUAUACAGUAUCUCUCUCACACUCAUCACUCAUGACCUCUGACCUCCAUCCUCCCAUCAUGUACACUGUGAACUCUCCUUCAGAAUCACAUCUUCAGUGCUGCGCUCAUGAGCAGUGUUAUACUUUUAUAAUGUUGCUAAUCUUUAUUUAUAAGAAAGUGUUUCCUAUAAGAAUCCCAUAAUAACUGUUCUGCAGGUUGAUGUCUUCACAUGAUAAACAGAUAAGGGUCAAAAUAAUAUUGACCAACAGCCAAGGCAUUAUUUUUGAUGAAUGUUGCAAAUAAUACAAAUACUGAAUGGCAUUUCAUGUUGAGUUUAAAGUCUGUAAACAUAAGUUAUUUCAAAUGAAUAUGUGACCUCUAUCCUGUGACACAGUCUACAUUAGAACCAGUAAAGAAGCGCUUGGGUUACUUGUAGGUGAAUAGAUGUAGCUCGUCUUUCAAUAAUCAGUCAUAUUCAUUAGAUUCUGGAAACAUUCACAUUAUAGAAAAGUGUUUUUUAUAUAAUCUAUAACAAAGGUCAUUUUUAUUGAAUUAUAGGUAACUUCACAAAUAGAUCUAGAAAAAAAAAAAAAAAAAACAUUGAUUGUGAUGUUACUUGUGUGUAUUUACUGAAAUAGCUUUAUAAUAUAGAAAUAUUUAGCAGUAUCUAGUAGUCACACUUAGAAAGUUUGAUCCUUUAUUGUACAGACAUGUACAAUUUUUAUUGUAUUUUUUUUUUCCUCUGAGAACAGAGUUUAGAAUAACACUCACCUCUAACAGGUAAUGAAGUGCCCAGAUUACUUGUAAAUGAGUUAGUUUGAGUUAUUAUUAUUAUUAUUAUUAUUAUUAUUAUUAUUAUUAUUAUUAUUGUAAUAUUAUUAUUUAAUUUUUUUCGUAUUCUCAAAAUCCCAUUUCUAAAAAUUCGUAAACAUGGUUUCUC
This 1603-nucleotide long non-coding RNA is filed under the name Carassius auratus (goldfish). Its description in RNAcentral is "lncRNA (ENSCARG00000023684.1)". Lineage: Eukaryota; Metazoa; Chordata; Actinopteri; Cypriniformes; Cyprinidae. The record is from RNAcentral.